This 253-nucleotide ribosomal RNA is filed under the name uncultured bacterium. RNAcentral's name for it is "partial 16S ribosomal RNA". It matches the Rfam family "Bacterial small subunit ribosomal RNA", at positions 524 to 776 of the family's 1533-position model. The record is from RNAcentral.
UACGUAGGGGGCUAGCGUUGUCCGGAAUCAUUGGGCGUAAAGCGCGUGUAGGCGGUCCGGUAAGUCCGCUGUGAAAGUCGGGGGCUCAACCCUCGAAUGCCGGUGGAUACUGUCGGGCUAGAGUACGGAAGAGGCGAGUGGAAUUCCUGGUGUAGCGGUGAAAUGCGCAGAUAUCAGGAGGAACACCGAUUGCGAAGGCAGCUCGCUGGGACGUUACUGACGCUGAGACGCGAAAGCGUGGGGAGCAAACAGG